ACGGGAGGCAGCAGUGGGGAAUAUUGGGCAAUGGGCGAAAGCCUGACCCAGCAACGCCGCGUGAAGGAAGAAGGUCUUCGGAUUGUAAACUUCUUUUAUGAGGGACGAAGGACGUGACGGUACCUCAUGAAUAAGCCACGGCUAACUACGUGCCAGCAGCCGCGGUAAUACGUAGGUGGCAAGCGUUAUCCGGAUUUACUGGGUGUAAAGGGCGCGUAGGCGGGGAUGCAAGUCAGAUGUGAAAUCUAUGGGCUUAACUCAUAAACUGCAUUUGAAACUGUAUCUCUUGAGUGCUGGAGAGGUAGACGGAAUUCCUUGUGUAGCGGUGAAAUGCGUAGAUAUCAGGAAGAACACCGGUGGCGAAGGCGGCUUACUGGACAGUAACAGACACUGAGGCUCGAAAGCGUGGGGAGCAAACAGGAUUAGAUACCCUGGUA
RNAcentral lists this ribosomal RNA (437 nucleotides) under uncultured Oscillospiraceae bacterium. Its description in RNAcentral is "bacterial SSU rRNA". It matches the Rfam family "Bacterial small subunit ribosomal RNA", at positions 341 to 792 of the family's 1533-position model. Lineage: Bacteria; Bacillati; Bacillota; Clostridia; Eubacteriales; Oscillospiraceae. The record is from RNAcentral.